CGGAGGGGCUAGCGUUGUUCGGAAUUACUGGGGCGUAAAGCGCACGUAGGCGGACCGGAAAGUUGGGGGUGGAAAUACCCGGGGCCGUCAACCUCGGAACUGCCUUCAAAACUAACUGGUCUUGUAGUUCGAGAGAGGUGAGUGGAAUUCCGAGUGUAGAGGUGAAAUUCGUAGAUAUUCGGAGGAACACCAGUGGCGAAGGCGGCUCACUGGCUCGAUACUGACGCUGAGGUGCGAAAGCGUGGGGAGCAAACAGGAUU
Molecule: ribosomal RNA, 260 nt
Filed under: uncultured bacterium
Lineage: Bacteria
Description: partial 16S ribosomal RNA
Rfam family: Bacterial small subunit ribosomal RNA
Source: RNAcentral